UUCUUUUCAAAGGUCUUUAUUUCCAAGUGUGACAUUACAUCAUUUGGCCUUGACUAGCUUUUAAUGGUCUUCUGAAGUUGGCUAGCCCAUUCCUAGUAAUUGCAAGAGUGAAUUGGAGAAGGGAGGUGGUUGAGUUAAUCUUUGAAGCUUUUCCUGAAGAGAUGGGCUUUUGACCUGUGAUUUCAUUCUUUCCACAAGUGUUUGAGCAUCUCCUGUGUGCAUGACCCUUUGGUGAACAUAAAAAUUAAAAUCCUAGAUCACCAAAAUGUGUUUAAUGUGUAUAUAUGUGAAACAACUACAAGGUAACAUAUAAUUCAACCAUUAUGAAGCAUUAGUGUGUACCAAAUUAUUAUUGGGGAGGGAAAGAAAAUACAGAAUUCAGGUGACAGUCCCUCCUUCCCUCAUAGUUUGUGGUGCAAUACUGCUUACAAGAGAACUGGAAAUGCAAAAUAAAGAAGAGACCAUUGUGGGAUUAGAACAUUUUCCUUGGUCAGGUCAGUCAGAGCUGUCAGCAUGACCCCUCCCAGCCGGCUAGCAGUGCUUUAUUACCAGAAGCAGUCUCCAAAUGUGACCAACAGGGAAAGGGAUGGGAGGUGAAUACUGGUGGAGGACAGACUCGAGGGAUGAAACCUCUUCAGUCUCCAUAAACGUAGGGUAUUGAAGGGGCAGGAUGAGAGUCUGAUACCGUGAAGGGGCUAGGAACGAGAAACCGGUAUCUGAAUCCUAGACACUAGAGUGAGGGCCCAACGUAGGGCUUGAGUUAGGUAAGUGGAAAACAGUUCUACAACUCAAGUCCCAAAGAGGUGGGUCCAAGAAGGUUUGAUUGUCAUAACGGCAGAUUUAUGAAGGGGUUAUUAAAGAAAGCUGGAGGUGUUGGGAGGACUUUCUAAACUUUUGAGAUUAAUGUCAGGGAAGACAAGAAGCCAUCUCUAAUUCUGUCUCUUACUAGUAAGAGACUGAAUCUUUUGUCUGCCUGUAAAGAAAGCUCUUUUAUGAACUUAGGGGGUAAAUGGUGUUGGGUUGAAUGCUAUAUUUACUUGGUCUUCCCUAGGUAAAAGGGAGAGCAGAUUUAAUAACUGUAGGGUGGGGGUGAGGGGGGGAAAGGAGUAUAGAGAAAUGGGACACAAUAAGCCAGCCACGCCAUCAGGAGGUUUCCCAAUUGAGCCUGGACUUGGGUAAAAAAAAAAAAAGUGGACCAAUUAGCAUGUUACAAAGACCAAAGGUGACCAAAUUGAACAAUUUGGGGCCAUAAAUAUAGUUAGCCAGUGUACUAGCAUCCUCUUAAAGAGGAUUCUCAUCCUAGAGAACUUUAAAGAUUAGGUUAGAAAAGCUUAGAUACUGCAUAAUCUGUGAC
RNAcentral lists this long non-coding RNA (1354 nucleotides) under Vombatus ursinus (common wombat). Its description in RNAcentral is "lncRNA (ENSVURG00010013885.1)". Lineage: Eukaryota; Metazoa; Chordata; Mammalia; Diprotodontia; Vombatidae. The record is from RNAcentral.